RNAcentral lists this ribosomal RNA (253 nucleotides) under uncultured prokaryote. RNAcentral describes it as "partial 16S ribosomal RNA". It matches the Rfam family "Bacterial small subunit ribosomal RNA", at positions 524 to 776 of the family's 1533-position model. The record is from RNAcentral.
UACGGAGGAUCCGAGCGUUAUCCGGAUUUAUUGGGUUUAAAGGGUGCGUAGGCGGUUUAUUAAGUCAGUGGUGAAAGUCAACAGCUUAACUGUUGAAUUGCCAUCGAUACUGGUAAACUUGAGUAUGGAUGAAGUGGGCGGAAUGAGUCAAGUAGCGGUGAAAUGCAUAGAUAUGACUCAGAACACCAAUUGCGAAGGCAGCUCACUAAGGCAUAACUGACGCUGAGGCACGAAAGCGUGGGGAUCAAACAGG